RNAcentral lists this ribosomal RNA (939 nucleotides) under uncultured bacterium. RNAcentral's name for it is "bacterial SSU rRNA". It matches the Rfam family "Bacterial small subunit ribosomal RNA", at positions 47 to 980 of the family's 1533-position model. The record is from RNAcentral.
CAGCUACACAUGCAGUCGAGCGGUAGAGAGAAGCUUGCUUCUCUUGAGAGCGGCGGACGGGUGAGUAAUGCCUAGGAAUCUGCCUAGUGGUGGGGGAUAACGUUCGGAAACGGACGCUAAUACCGCAUACGUCCUACGGGAGAAAGCGGGGGAUCUUCGGACCUCGCGCCAUUAGAUGAGCCUAGGUCGGAUUAGCUAGUUGGUGAGGUAAUGGCUCACCAAGGCGACGAUCCGUAACUGGUCUGAGAGGAUGAUCAGUCACACUGGAACUGAGACACGGUCCAGACUCCUACGGGAGGCAGCAGUGGGGAAUAUUGGACAAUGGGCGAAAGCCUGAUCCAGCCAUGCCGCGUGUGUGAAGAAGGUCUUCGGAUUGUAAAGCACUUUAAGUUGGGAGGAAGGGCAGUAACCUAAUACGUUAUUGUUUUGACGUUACCGACAGAAUAAGCACCGGCUAACUUCGUGCCAGCAGCCGCGGUAAUACGAAGGGUGCAAGCGUUAAUCGGAAUUACUGGGCGUAAAGCGCGCGUAGGUGGUUCAGUAAGUUGGAAGUGAAAUCCCCGGGCUCAACCUGGGAACUGCUUUCAAAACUGCUGAGCUAGAGUACGGUAGAGGGUGGUGGAAUUUCCUGUGUAGCGGUGAAAUGCGUAGAUAUAGGAAGGAACACCAGUGGCGAAGGCGACCACCUGGACUGAUACUGACACUGAGGUGCGAAAGCGUGGGGAGCAAACAGGAUUAGAUACCCUGGUAGUCCACGCCGUAAACGAUGUCAACUAGCCGUUGGGAGUCUUGAACUCUUAGUGGCGCAGCUAACGCAUUAAGUUGACCGCCUGGGGAGUACGGCCGCAAGGUUAAAACUCAAAUGAAUUGACGGGGGCCCGCACAAGCGGUGGAGCAUGGUGGUUUAAUUCGAAGCAACGCGAAGAACCUUACCUGGCC